RNAcentral lists this long non-coding RNA (381 nucleotides) under Gallus gallus (chicken). Its description in RNAcentral is "long non-coding RNA NONGGAT011774". Lineage: Eukaryota; Metazoa; Chordata; Aves; Galliformes; Phasianidae. The record is from RNAcentral.
GAGGGCCCGGCAUGGCACGGGGCAUUGCCGCUAGAUGGGGCCGUUUGCCCGAGGGAGCGACCCUGAAGUACGCGGUGGGAUGUGGCUCAGCCGUCUUCAGCCCGGCUUCCACGAGCGGAACGUCACUCCUCUCCGCCCUCAGGGGGAAGAAAGGAGCACAGGCAGGCAGAGAGCCCAGCCCAGCUAACCUCCUGGCUUCUGCUGUAGAGCUCUCCAUUCCUUUUUGAAGACAGCAGCAGCAUGCGCAUCACCUCUAAAAACACAAGGUACUGAUAGCUACGAUAUGAUCACACAGGUGAGACCAGCACAAGGUAUGAGAUGAUACCUCUAUAUCCCAUUGGACACUGAAGAGUGUCAUUUUCUGACGUAUUUGCGCUGUUG